This 497-nucleotide ribosomal RNA is filed under the name uncultured bacterium. RNAcentral's name for it is "bacterial SSU rRNA". It matches the Rfam family "Bacterial small subunit ribosomal RNA", at positions 899 to 1397 of the family's 1533-position model. The record is from RNAcentral.
ACUCAAAUGAAUUGACGGGGGCCCGCACAAGCAGCGGAGCAUGUGGUUUAAUUCGAAGCAACGCGAAGAACCUUACCAGGUCUUGACAUCCGAUUAAAGCGCUGGAAACAGCGUGUCCCUUCGGGGGAAUCGAGACAGGUGGUGCAUGGUUGUCGUCAGCUCGUGUCGUGAGAUGUUGGGUUAAGUCCCGCAACGAGCGCAACCCUUAUAUUUAGUUACUAACGCGUCAUGGCGAGGACUCUAGAUAGACUGCCGGGGACAACUCGGAGGAAGGUGGGGAUGAGGUCAAAUCAUCAUGCCCCUUAUGACCUGGGCUACACACGUGCUACAAUGGCCGUUACAACGAGGAUCGAAGCCGCAAGGCGGAGGGAAUCUAGAAAAGCGGUCCCAGUUCGGAUUGUGGGCUGCAACCCGCCCACAUGAAGUCGGAGUUGCUAGUAAUCGCGGAUCAGCAUGCCGCGGUGAAUACGUUCCCGGGCCUUGUACACACCGCCCGU